GACGAACCGUGCGAACGUUGUUCGGAUUCACUGGGCUUAAAGGGCGCAUAGGCGGCUUGCCAAGUCAGGGGUGAAAUCUUUCGGCUUAACCGGAAAAGUGCUUCUGAUACUGGCGGGCUGGAGGGAGGUAGGGGCAGACGGAACUUCCGGUGGAGCGGUGAAAUGCGUAGAUAUCGGAAGGAACGCCGGUGGCGAAAGCGGUCUGCUGGACCUCUUCUGACGCUGAGGCGCGAAAGCCAGGGGAGCAAACGGG
RNAcentral lists this ribosomal RNA (253 nucleotides) under uncultured bacterium. Its description in RNAcentral is "partial 16S ribosomal RNA". It matches the Rfam family "Bacterial small subunit ribosomal RNA", at positions 524 to 776 of the family's 1533-position model. The record is from RNAcentral.